ACUCAGCCAUCAUUUCAUCAGCAUUAAUGCUCAUGGUUUAUUUGUUUUCUUUUUUAAAGGUGUCCAGUCGGAGGUUGUUUUGACCCAGCCAGAGGCAGAGACUGGCCGUCCUGCAGGCAGCCUGAAACUGACCUGUAAAACCAGCGGGUUCGAUCUUAGCAGCAGCUACAUGUACUGGGUCCGACAGGUUCCCGGACAGGGUCUGGAGUGGCUGGUUCGCUACUAUAGUUCAUCCAGCAGUAACUAUGCACCAGCGGUUAAGGGUCGAUUUACUGCGUCCAAAGACACUUCAAACAACAUUUUCGCGUUGGACAUGGGGAACCUGAAGAUCGAAGACACCGCCAUCUAUUACAGUGCAAGAGACCACAGCGAGAGGAACCAGGGCUGGACCCGUUCAAAAACAGCUCGAGGGAACAUUUUGUCAAUUCCAUCAUAAACUGACGGUCAGUACGAGUUUUAAAUGCAAUUAUACCAACUGCAAUCUGAAGCAGACCUCAGGUUGCCUCUUACAAAACUAU
Non-coding RNA from Chiloscyllium plagiosum (whitespotted bambooshark), 518 nucleotides. The record is from the annotation of a RefSeq genome assembly. NCBI's taxonomy places the organism in Eukaryota, Metazoa, Chordata, Chondrichthyes, Orectolobiformes, Hemiscylliidae.